AACGAACGCUGGCGGCAGGCCUAACACAUGCAAGUCGAGCGAGCAUUUCGGUGCUAGCGGCGGACGGGUGAGUAACGCGUGGGAACGUGCCCUUUUCUGCGGAAUAGUCCUGGGAAACUGGGGGUAAUACCGCAUACGCCCUUUUGGGGAAAGAUUUAUCGGAGAAGGAUCGGCCCGCGUUGGAUUAGGUAGUUGGUGGGGUAAUGGCCCACCAAGCCGACGAUCCAUAGCUGGUUUGAGAGGAUGAUCAGCCACACUGGGACUGAGACACGGCCCAGACUCCUACGGGAGGCAGCAGUGGGGAAUCUUAGACAAUGGGGGCAACCCUGAUCUAGCCAUGCCGCGUGAGUGAUGAAGGCCUUAGGGUUGUAAAGCUCUUUCAGCUGGGAAGAUAAUGACGGUACCAGAAGAAGAAGCCCCGGCUAACUCCGUG
RNAcentral lists this ribosomal RNA (433 nucleotides) under uncultured bacterium. RNAcentral describes it as "partial 16S ribosomal RNA". It matches the Rfam family "Bacterial small subunit ribosomal RNA", at positions 29 to 507 of the family's 1533-position model. The record is from RNAcentral.